CCUGGCACACCGUCUAUGCCAGGUAAAACCCUCACCCGCUGCCUGGCACACCGUCUAUGCCAGGUAAAACCCUCCCCGCCGCCUGGCACACCGUCUAUGCCAGGUACAAAGGAAGGAAGGCACGGUGUGUUAGAUGUUGGUGUUAUAACCAGUUAACCACUGAGACUAUAUAUCGGGUGGUUUCCCAGACACUGUGAUUACACCUACUGUCCUGGACUUAACAGCAUGUUCCAUGCAGAUUCUCCGUUGAGAAUGAUUUUUAGUUCAGGACUAGUUAGAAUCUGUGUCCGGGAAACUGGCCCAUAGUGUGACUUUCUUUAUUUCUUUGUGUGUAUUAGGUAACACUUUACAUUACAGGUUCCUUAUUACUGUUGAAUGAUUAUUUCAGUCUAACGAGUGUUGUAAUUACUCAUUACUACACUGUACUUUGGAUUAUUGCUAUUUAAAAACGUUUUCUUUGUUCUUCCACAAUGUCUA
Molecule: long non-coding RNA, 477 nt
Organism: Oncorhynchus keta (chum salmon)
Lineage: Eukaryota; Metazoa; Chordata; Actinopteri; Salmoniformes; Salmonidae
Exons: 3
Source: RefSeq, a predicted model, not a curated record